Molecule: ribosomal RNA, 468 nt
Filed under: uncultured bacterium
Lineage: Bacteria
Description: partial 16S ribosomal RNA
Rfam family: Bacterial small subunit ribosomal RNA
Source: RNAcentral
GACGAACGCUGGCGGCGUGCUUAACACAUGCAAGUCGAACGGAAAGGCCCUGCUUUUGUGGGGUGCUCGAGUGGCGAACGGGUGAGUAACACGUGAGUAACCUGCCCUUGACUUUGGGAUAACUUCAGGAAACUGGGGCUAAUACCGGAUAGGAGCUCCUGCUGCAUGGUGGGGGUUGGAAAGUUUCGGCGGUUGGGGAUGGACUCGCGGCUUAUCAGCUUGCUGGUGGGGUAGUGGCUUACCAAGGCUUUGACGGGUAGCCGGCCUGAGAGGGUGACCGGCCACAUUGGGACUGAGAUACGGCCCAGACUCCUACGGGAGGCAGCAGUGGGGAAUGUUGCACAAUGGGCGGAAGCCUGAUGCAGCAACGCCGCGUGCGGGAUGACGGCCUUCGGGUUGUAAACCGCUUUCGCCUGUGACGAAGCGUGAGUGACGGUAAUGGGUAAAGAAGCACCGGCUAACUACGUG